RNAcentral lists this transfer RNA (72 nucleotides) under Polyangiaceae bacterium LLY-WYZ-15_(1-7). Its description in RNAcentral is "tRNA-Val". It matches the Rfam family "tRNA". From Rfam's summary of the family: Transfer RNA (tRNA) molecules are approximately 80 nucleotides in length. The record is from RNAcentral. Lineage: Bacteria; Pseudomonadati; Myxococcota; Polyangiales; Polyangiaceae.
GGGUGGGUAGCUCAGCGGUAGAGCGUCGCCUUUACACGGCGAACGUCGCAGGUUCGACCCCUGUCCCACCCA